RNAcentral lists this ribosomal RNA (402 nucleotides) under bacterium. RNAcentral's name for it is "partial 16S ribosomal RNA". It matches the Rfam family "Bacterial small subunit ribosomal RNA", at positions 355 to 776 of the family's 1533-position model. The record is from RNAcentral.
UGGGGAAUUUUGCACAAUGGGGGAAACCCUGAUGCAGCGACGCCGCGUGAUUUAGAAGGCCUUCGGGUUGUAAAAAUCUUUUUUACGGGAUGAAAAUGACAGUACCGUAAGAAUAAGGUCCGGCUAAAUACGUGCCAGCAGCCGCGGUAAUACGUAUGGACCGAGCGUUGUCCGGAAUCAUUGGGCGUAAAGGGUACGUAGGCGGCCUAGUAAGUUAGAAGUGAAAUAAUAUAGCUCAACUAUAUAAAGCUUUUAAAACUGCUAGGCUUGAGAGAUGGAAAGGAAAGUGGAAUUCCUAGUGUAGCGGUGAAAUGCGCAGAUAUUAGGAAGAAUACCGGUGGCGAAGGCGACUUUCUGGUCAUCAUCUGACGCUGAGGUACGAAAGCGUGGGUAGCAAACAGG